CAGCAGCCGCGGUAAUACGAAGGGUGCAAGCGUUAAUCGGAAUUACUGGGCGUAAAGCGCGCGUAGGUGGUUCAUUAAGUUGGAUGUGAAAGCCCUGGGCUCAACCUGGGAACUUCAUCCAAAACUGGUGAGCUAGAGUACGGUAGAGGGUAGUGGAAUUUCCUGUGUAGCGGUGAAAUGCGUAGAUAUAGGAAGGAACACCAGUGGCGAAGGCGACUACCUGGACUGAUACUGACACUGAGGUGCGAAAGCGUGGGGAGCAAACAGGAUUAGAUACCCCCGUAGUCCCUGUCUCUUAUAC
RNAcentral lists this ribosomal RNA (301 nucleotides) under uncultured bacterium. Its description in RNAcentral is "partial 16S ribosomal RNA". It matches the Rfam family "Bacterial small subunit ribosomal RNA", at positions 509 to 807 of the family's 1533-position model. The record is from RNAcentral.